RNAcentral lists this transfer RNA (85 nucleotides) under Felis catus (domestic cat). It matches the Rfam family "tRNA". From Rfam's summary of the family: Transfer RNA (tRNA) molecules are approximately 80 nucleotides in length. The record is from Rfam by way of RNAcentral. Lineage: Eukaryota; Metazoa; Chordata; Mammalia; Carnivora; Felidae.
GCCUGGGUAGUUCAGUCGGCUGAGCAUCUGACUUCGGCUCAGAUCAUGAUCUCAUGGUUCAUGGGUUCAAGCCCCACAUCAGGCU